CGGCUCGCUGGCGCGCGAAGUGGUGGUGGCGCUGCUGCCGCCGCUCCUGCUCAUCGUGGCGGUGCUGGGUUCGAUCCUGGGCGGGGUGGC
Molecule: transfer RNA, 90 nt
Filed under: Paradevosia tibetensis
Lineage: Bacteria; Pseudomonadati; Pseudomonadota; Alphaproteobacteria; Hyphomicrobiales; Devosiaceae
Description: Youhaiella tibetensis tRNA-Ser
Source: RNAcentral